UCAAGCAAUCCUCCUGCCUCAACCUCCCACAGUACUGGGAUGGUUGGGCCUUGGGCUGAGAAGGAGACAGGGAAGGGGCUGUAGGAGCUGUGUGAUCCUAGGUGAGCUGUCUGACCUCUCAGAUUUGUUCUUUUCAUCAACAGAAUGGGGAUAAUGGAAUCCACCUCCUGGGACUGUCACGAGAAUUAGAUGAGGGAUUCUGGAAAGAACAUGGCCCACGGUUGAGUUCUGGAGAGGCUGCUUCCUCUCUGGGCGACCUUAUUCCACCUCUCUGAACACUCCAGGGGAGGAAGCGCUGUCUCUAAGUGGGUGAGGCCUUGCCCAGACUCUCCCGCCUGACUCCGCCUGGUUUCCACGUUGCCACCCUCUCGCCACCGAAUGGCCACCCUUGGGGUUGGCCCUCUCACCCCCACUGGAGAAUCCAACUGGAGCCGCAGUCACUGACCAGGCACUUCUGAAGACAGGAGGAGCAUCGAAUGAGAAGAUGCAGCCAACAACCCGGUCCCCACGGCAACAUGUUGACACUGGUCCUCUCCACCCGAGGCCUCUUCUGGGGCUCCCCACAUCUUCAGAAGUGGUUCUACUUUUAUGCCCCAUUUGUCAGUGAGGAAGGAUUUAGGAAUCCAGAUAAAAACCCGGGUCAAUCUGACUCCAAAACCAGCACUCUGUCCACUCACGCUUUUCCGUGUCAGAAGACUGUGUGUGCUGAGCAGGGGUCUAUCCACCCCUCCAUCCCCUAAGCCCUCAGGAAAUAAACAGAGUCCAACACA
This is a non-coding RNA of Chlorocebus sabaeus (green monkey), 770 nucleotides long. NCBI's taxonomy places the organism in Eukaryota, Metazoa, Chordata, Mammalia, Primates, Cercopithecidae. The record is from RefSeq and is a predicted model, not a curated record.